Molecule: non-coding RNA, 5590 nt
Organism: Monodelphis domestica (gray short-tailed opossum)
Lineage: Eukaryota; Metazoa; Chordata; Mammalia; Didelphimorphia; Didelphidae
Source: RefSeq, a predicted model, not a curated record
CUGGCCGCCUUUGAUCUUGCAAAAAGAAGACUCUGAGCGUGGAAAGACCUGCUGACUCGGCCCCAGCCACUCUGUCCCAGAAGAAGACACCCAGAAGCCACCCCUAGGGACGAGGAGAGGGCGCCCUCCCUCCGGCCCAGGCCUAGGAGCCUCGGGGUGCCUCCACGGGCAGCACUCCACCCGGUUCCCUGCUUCAGUCCAAUCCCACGGGCCUGGCAAUGCGUGUUGAUUUUGGAUUUCGAUGGACAGAGCCCCGGGGCUGGAGUCAGGGGCUUGGGUUCGAAUCCUCAGGAAGGCCCCAUUUGGUUCGCAUUAGAUUGGACUCUGCCAACGUCUAGGAAUAUAUUCCAGACCGGGGGAUGGGCAUUUAGGGGACAAAGGCCAAGUCUGGCAACAGUCCCUGCACUCGGGCAUCGGGGGCUCUGGGUGGGCAUCCAAGAGAAAGCACUGACAACCAGAGGAAAUCGAGGAAGCCUGCCGGUAAAAGCUGGUACCUGGACUUAGCCACUCGGUCAAAGGGAACUAGGGUGAGGAAGGAAGGCACACGGGGGUGGGGGAGAACCUAGGCAACAGCAUGGAGGCAGGACUGCCAAGGAAGCCCGGAAUAAGGAAUCAAUCAAUCAGUGAAUUAUUAAUUAUUAUUAAUUACUAUUAAUCAAUCAAUUUACUUUUACUUAUUAUUGGUAAACAACUUUGAAGUCAAAUCAUUAUUAGUUCAUUAAAUUCUUUAUUAAGUGCCAGGCACUAGAGGCACAAGGGCAGAGGUUAGGAGAAGGCAAGGCCUCCCACCCCCUGCGCAGAAAGCUCUCAGUCUAACAGGGGAGCCAACAGGCAAACAGUGAUGGACAGGCUAAACAGGAAGUUGAAUGAGAAAAUGCAAGUGCUUCAUGGGCCUUUAAGGCCUUCUUCUUCCCCUGCCAAAAUCGAUUUCCUUUGGGGAUACGCUUUUCCUGCCUCGUGGAGAAGUCUGCCUUUCUGUAAUUUGCACCCGAUAUUCUGAGUUCUGUCCAAGCAGAAUAAAGCCAACCCUUCUGCCAGGACAAGGAUGAGCCCUUCAACGAUGUGAAGACCGCUGUCCCCUCCACUCCAAGUUUUGGUUCUCACAGAGCUCUGCUUGAAGACCUUCAAUAAAGGGGAGCUCACUACCUCCCUGGACCACUUUGGGAUUGCUCUCCCUGUUAGACAGCCGAAAUCUCUUCUCUGGAGCCCAGCAGAAUGGAGCCAAUCCUGGCUCCCUCUUUUCCAAGUGGAGCAGUUCCAGUUCCUUCAACCGUCUUUCAUGUGACAUCAGUCAGUAACCUGGAGAAUGUCCGGAGAAUGGCGACCAGGAUGUGGGACAACCUCCAGACCACGCUAUUGGAAGCUUCCCCAGAUGUAGCGUACAGUUCCUUUCUGCCGCCAGUCGUGGGAUCCAACAGGUUUAUUUGUUCUUCUCUUAUUCAUGGGCUCUGGGGCAUUUCUCACUGCUGCUAAUGCUGUGGUCCAGAAAUCCUGAUUAAUCACCCGGUUCAAGGCCUCUGCAGCCCUUCCCGCAGUGAUGGCCGACUUUCCUGCUAAUUGGACCUUCCCAGAUGAAGUUGAAGUCACCCGUUCAUCAGGAAAGCCAGGGAUUAGUGGCUUCACUGGGGAUCUUGGGCCUGGAGAAGAGACGAUUUCCAUGGGAACCCAUCCUCGUCCUUGUCAAGUAUUUGAAGGAUUAGCAGGGGAAGGAAGGAUUGGGCUUUUGCUUGGCUCCAAAGGGCAGGGAGCCAUGAGCAAACAUUCCAAAAGAAGGGAAUUUAGGCUUGCUGUCUGGAAAAACAUCCCGAUGAUGAAAGCUGUCCCAGGGUGGACUGGGCAGCUCGAGAGGUGGAGGGGGGAUGAGAAUGGUGCCUGGAUCAGGUGCCCCCCAGAGAGGGCUUUGCAAACCCCUUUUGUUGUGAGUCAUUCAGUCGUGUCCGGCUCUUUGUGACCCCAUGGACCAUCGCACUCCAUAGGAUUUUCUUGGCAAGGAUGCUGCUUUGGCUCACCAUUUCCUUCUCCAGGCUGUAAACUCAAAAAUGCUCUAAAAAUGUGAAUGUUCUUUCUGCCUCUGUUCACACCGAGAUGACAUCUCCAAUCAUCCCACCACCCCAUGAAAGCUUUUUCUUUUCUUUUGAAAUCCUUAUCUUCCAUCUUAGAAUCAAUACUGUGCAUGGGUUCAAGGCAAAAGAGCAGUAAGAGCUAGGCAAUAGAAGUUAAGUGACUUGCCUAGGGUCACACAGCUAUGACGUGUCUGGUUCCACAUUUGAUCCCAGGACUUCUCAUCUCCAAGCCUGGAGCUCUAUCCACUGAGCCAUCUAACGGCCACUCAUAAAGCCUUUUUGGACCCUUUCAGCCACCAUGAUCUCUCUUAGACCUUAUUUCUAUGGGUCAAUGAUAUCACCAAUGGGUGGAUGUCUAGCAGUGCAGGUAACAACCUAGUUAUCCUGGGCAAUUCUCUCUUCCAAUAAAGAUAAUAGACCAGGAGGCAGUAUGGUUGGGGGGAAGGGGAAUGCCUCAGGAAUCAUAAGGCAUGGGUUCAAACCCCAGAUCUUUAGCUUGUUCCCUAGUCGAGCCAUUUCAUGUCCUCAAGACUCAAUUUCCUCAUUUUUAAAAAUGGGGGCUGGAGGCUGGGUCUCUUGAGGUGCUUUAAAGCUCCAAUCGUUAAACCCCUUCUAGCUGAAACUCUGGCCAUUGUGUGGACCCUGAGAGAGGGCUGGGGCUGUCCAUUGGUCCUCUCCGUGCAACUACCCUACUUCCUUUCCUGGUUCCCCAUAUCUUCAAUGACAUCUCCAGCGCUAUGUCUCUUGAACAAUUCAUAAUUGGUCAUGUUUGCUGCCUGUGUGUGCUGAUGGCCCCAUCCAUUCUGCUCUCUUCCUGUGGUUCUGUUUGAGGCCUGGAUCAUUGUCCAUACAAAGGAUCUGUCCAUCAUCUAUCUACCGACAAGCUUGAAUUCAUAGGUUGCCCAUCUAGCUGUGUUAAAAUUAAAAUUAAUCUACAAUAAUUUCAAAUAUUAUAUUUUAUAAGAUUUAUUAAUGAUCACUAGAAGUAACAAAAUAAAAAGGUAACAAAAUAAAGCCAAGUGCCCAUGGCUAAUCUACCUGUUUAAACAGCCCGCUCCACCACAGUCGCCAACAGGAAGCAAAGAAAGCUAGCCACGGAAGACCACCCUAUUUAUCCUCUGUCUACAUCAGCACAUAAGGACAGGAAGUCAGUGGGCUCCUAGGAAAUGUAGUUCAAAGGUGCAAGAUUUCCAAUUACACAGCUGCUAACAUUGUCUAGACCAGAGAUGUCCACCCUCCACAGUCCUGAAUAUGGCCCCUUGAACCAGAUCAAAAUAUAAUAGGGAAAUGUUUAACAAAAUAAAUAUAAAUAUAAUAAAACAGAUAAUAUUACAUUUUAAAACUGAGUCAAUGGACAGCCUCCUUUUUCACUUGAGUUUGACACUGGAGAUCUAGACAAUAGACAUUAUUCAUCCACUUGGUUUUUCCUGUGUAGAUAGUUAGAUAGAACUCCUUGGAGCGAUUUUAGAUCCAUUUAAGAGCUUCCAUUCUUCACUUUGGAGUAUUCCACAGCUCAAAAUGUUUAUAGGACUAUUAAGAGCAUGAGUUGUUCAGCUGUUUUAGGUCAUGGAGCCCUUUGGUGGUCCAGUCAAAUCUAUGGACCCCUUCUUGGAAUACUAUGUUUCAAAGUCUCAAAUGAAAGACAUAGGAAACCAAAGGUCAAUUUUCACAGUGUAUGGACCCCCUGAAAUAUAUUUGGGUGGCCCAGGCAAGAACCUCCAUCUAGAAGACUCUGUCAUUCACAGGGAAUCCCUCUUUGGUCUGAACUUGGCUUUGCACACCUCGGUGAUGGGACCAUAUGGUUUGAUUUGGUCUAUCCCAACUGGAAGACCUGGUCACUGUAAGGGCACAGAGGUGAAGACGGACCAUUGAUCCUGUUUUGUUGGUUGUGAUUUUAUUCUUGGGCCUAUUACCUAGAAUUUCCUUUCAUACUUCACUACUUUCAAACUAUCUCCUUUUAUAUUUCAACUCCUUUUGAUGCAUGGCCUUGACCUUUUGGCCUUUGCUUUUCCUUUUAAACUCUUUCCUGGUAACAGCUCUAAGACAUAAGGGCAAGGGUUAGGCAAACAGGGUUAAAUGACUUGCCCAGGGUCACAUAGCUAGGAAGUGUCUGAGGUCAUAUUUGAGCACAGGUCCUCUUGACUCCAGGCCUGGCUCUCUAUCCUCUGUGCCGCCUAGCUGCCCCCUUUGCUUCCUUCCUCCCUUUCUAUUAUCAGAAUGAUUUACUGAGUCAUAACCUCCAUCAUGGCCACCAAAUUUAGUCUAAGGUAGCUAUCAAAGGCUCAGGCUGAGGGCUAGAAAGACCCGAGUUUGAAUCUAGUCUCAUAGCCUAGCUAAGUGGUGUUGGGCAGUCACUGCACAUCCACGCCAAUGCCCCAGGCAACCCACUAAGACUAUAAUGUAUAAACCAAUUGCUAGACUGCUCUGGUAGAAUGAGGGUCCACUCUGGGAGUUCCAUGCUCUUACAGAAUCAGAGCUUGAAUCCUUCAACCCACCCACUCUCUCAGAAUGAGAAUGCUUAGACUUGUUUCAAAUUCUUCCAUUUUUUUAAUUUAAAAAAAAAGGUUUUUUAGUCUUAAAAAAUGUUAUUUAAUUAAUUUAGAAUAUUUUUCCAUGGUUCCAUGAUUCAUGUUCUUUCUCUCCCCUCCUCCCACCCCCCUCCCAUAGCCAACAAGCAAUUCCACUCCUCCAUUUUUUAGCCCUCUCUAGCCUCAGUUUCCCUCUGCCUCGUAGGGUCUUUUGUUCCUUUAAGAUAAGCUCAAGCACCAUCUUCUUUCUGGAGCCUCUCCUGACGCCCCCCUCCCCAAAUGCUAGUGCCCCUCCCUGCCUUGAGCUCCUUUGUGCAUAUUUGUACUUGGCCACUUUACCUUUAUAUAGCCCUGGGGUUUGGGUCUUGCCCUUGUUGUCUUCCAUAGUAGACAGGAAGCUCUUUGGGAGGGAACAGGGAUCCCUGUGUUCUUCAUAUUUGGGUCCCUAGUGCCCUGCGUGGUGCCUGGCACACAGUAAGCACUUCAUGGUGUCUGGAUUGGAUCCCCAGCACCAGGCACAGUAUCUGGCAUAUAGUAUGGGCUUAGCAAAGGCUUGGUGAUUGACUGACUCAUUCAUUCAUUCAUUCAUUCAUUCAUUCAUUCAUUCAUUCAUUCAUUCAUUCAUUCAUUCAUUCAUCUGUGGGAGAAUCCGUGGAUUAGAAGGGUGGAGUUUACAUUUUAUAGAACCCAUUUCUCACCUUGGGGAAAAGAGACCCAUGAGAGAUCAGAGGCCUCCCUCAGAAGGGACCCUAGAGCUCUGAGAGGCCCGUCUCCACCCCAAGCAUGAGUUCACACCACAAAGUUGUUGACAAAAUGGUCAUCUGGUCUUUGUAAGAGAAACUUCUAAUGCCAUUAAUGACACCAUUCUUUCUUUUUGGUCAGCUCUAAUUGUUGGGAUCUAGAGAGAUUAGAUGUUAUAUAGGGAUGAUAAUUAUAAUUAUAAUGGAGAUAAUAACAAUACCUCUCUCCCUCCCUUCCUUUUUCCCUCCUCCUUCCCUU